UGAAUAGUUGGUAAAAUAUAUGUCUGAGC
Molecule: small RNA, 29 nt
Filed under: Bombyx mori (domestic silkworm)
Lineage: Eukaryota; Metazoa; Arthropoda; Insecta; Lepidoptera; Bombycidae
Description: piRNA piR-bmo-2092272
Source: RNAcentral